AGAUGCCUGAGAAAGUGCACGUGGAGCGGAGGAGCUGGAAACUUGCCUUUCAGGCAGAUAUUGCCCAACUCAUGUCUCUCGUCAUCAAUACCUUCUAUUCUAACAAGGAGAUUUUCCUUCAGGGGUUGAUCUAAUGUUUCUGAUGCAUUGGACAAGAUUUCCUGUAAGAGCCUGACAAACCCUUCCAAGUUGGACAAUGGUAAAGAGCUGGAAGUUAACAUCAUCCCCAACCCAUGGUAAUGGUUCCCAAAUUAGGAGAUCAGCCUUGGUCAUGUCAAUGCCUGUGUCUACCAAAGUCAGGGUGUAUUCCCUGGUACUAAAGGAUUUAUGGAGGCUCUUCAGGCUAGUGUAGAUAUCUCCAUGAUUGGGCAGUUUGGUGCUGCCUUUUUUUCUGCCUACCUUGUGGCAGAGAAAGUAGUUGUGAUCACAAAGCACAACAAUGAUGAAGAGUAUGCCUGGGAGUCUCUGCUGGGGGUUCCUUCACUGUAUGUGCUGACCAUGGAGAGCCCAUUGGCAGGGGUACCAAAGUGACCCUCCACCUUAAAGAAGACCAGACAGAGUACUUAGAAGAGAGGAAGGUCAAAGAAGUAGUGAAGAGCACUUACAGUUCAUAGCCUAUCCCAUUACCCUUUCUUUGGAGAAGGAAAGAGAGGAGAAAAUCAGUGAUGAUAGGCAGAGGAAGAGAAAGGUGAGAAAGAAGAGGAAGAUAGGCCAGGCACAAUGGCUCAUGCCUGUAAUCCCAGGACUUUGGGAGGCUGAGGUGGCAGAUCGAUUGAACUCAGGAGUUUGAGACCAGCCUAGCCAACAUGGUGAAACCCCAACUCUUUAAAAGAUACAAAAAAUUAGGCGGUCAUGGUGGUGCGCACCUUAGGUCCCAGCUACUUGUGGGGCUGAAGUGGGAGGAUCCACCAGGAGGUGGAGGUUGCAGUGAGCUCAUAUCACACCACCGCACUCCAGCCUGGACGACAGAGUGUUACACCAUCUCAAAACAAACAAAAAAAGGCAGAUAGAGAUGAUGAGAAAAAGUCCAAGAUUGAAGAAGAUGUGGGUGGGUUCAGAUGAAGAGGAGGACAAUGGUAAGGAUAAGAAAAAGAAAACCAACAAGAUCAAGGAGAAAUCAUUGAUUGGGAAGAACUAAACAAGAUCAAGAACAUUUGGAUCAGAAACUCUGAUGACAUUCACCCAGGAGGAGUAUAGAGAAUUCUACAAGAGCUUCACCAGUGACUAGGAAGACCAUUUGGCAGUCAAGCACUUCUCUGUAGAAGGUUGGUUGGAAUUCAGAGCAUUGCUGUUCAUCCCUUGUUUGGCUCCCUUUGACUUCUUUGAGAAUGAGAAGAAAAAAAGAACAACAAACUCUGUGUCCAUCAUGUGUUCAUCAUGGACAGCCAUGAUGAUAUAAGAGUAUCUCAACUUUAAUCCUUGGUGUGGUUGACUUGGGAUCUGCCCCUGAACAUCUCUCGAGAAAUGCUCCAACAGAGCAGAAUCUUAACAGUCAUUCACAGAAACAUUGUUAAGAAGUGCCUUGAGCUGUUCUCUGAGGUGGCAGAAGACAAGGAGAAUUGCAAGAAAUUCAAUGAGGCCUUAUCUAAAAAUCUAAAGCUUGGGCCAGUUGUGGUAUCUCACCUCUGUAAUCUCAGCACUUUGGGAGGCCAAGGCAGGAGGAUUGCUGGAAGCCAGGAGUUUGAUACCAGCCUGGGCUGCAAAGCAAGACACCAUCACAACAAAAAAUAAAAAAAAUUAACCCAGCAUGGUGGUACACACCUGUAGUCCAAGCUACCUGAGGCAAGAGGAUCACUUGAGCCCACGAGUUCCAGGCUGCAGUGAGCUAUGAUUGCACCACUGCACUCCAGCCUGGAUGACAGAGUGAAACCCCUAUCUAUAAAAAAAAAAUAAAUAAAAUUUUAGAAUUUCAAAAAUUAAAAUCUAAAGCUUGGAAUCCACAAAGACUCCACUAGCCAGUGACGCAUGUCCUAGCUGCUGCAGUAUCACACUUCCCAGUCUGGAGAUGAGAUGACAUCUGUGUCAAAAUAUGUCUCCUGCAUGAAAGAGGCACAGAAAUCCAUCUAUAGCAUCACUGGUGAGAGCAAAGAGCAGGUGGCCAGCUCUGUGUUUGUGGAGCAAGUGCAGAAGUGGGGCUUUGAAUUAGUAUAUACAGCCAAGCCCACUGAUGAGUACUGCGUGCAGCAGCUCAAGGAGUUUGAUGGGAAAAGCCUGGUCUCAGUUACCAAGGAGAGUCUGCAGCUGCCUGAGUGAGCUGAGA
This 2260-nucleotide long non-coding RNA is filed under the name Homo sapiens (human). Its description in RNAcentral is "non-protein coding lnc-TBCA-7:1". Lineage: Eukaryota; Metazoa; Chordata; Mammalia; Primates; Hominidae. The record is from RNAcentral.